GUGCCAGCAGCCGCGGUAAUACGUAGGGUGCGAGCGUUGUCCGGAAUUACUGGGCGUAAAGAGCUCGUAGGUGGUUUGUCGCGUCGUCUGUGAAAUCCCGGGGCUUAACUUCGGGCGUGCAGGCGAUACGGGCAUAACUAGAGUGCUGUAGGGGAGACUGGAAUUCCUGGUGUAGCGGUGAAAUGCGCAGAUAUCGAGAGGAACAGCGAUGGCGAAAGCAGGUCUCUGGGCAUGUUACUGACGCUGAAGAGCGAGAGCGAUGGAUAACGAACAGGAUUACAGGCCCUGCUAGUCC
This 295-nucleotide ribosomal RNA is filed under the name uncultured microorganism. RNAcentral's name for it is "partial 16S ribosomal RNA". It matches the Rfam family "Bacterial small subunit ribosomal RNA", at positions 505 to 796 of the family's 1533-position model. The record is from RNAcentral.